UACGUAGGUGACAAGCGUUGUCCGGAUUUACUGGGCGUAAAGAGCGCGCAGGCGGUCGUUCAAGUCGAGUGUGAAAGCCCCCGGCUCAACUGGGGAGGGUCACUCGAUACUGAUCGACUCGAAGGCAGGAGAGGGAAGUGGAAUUCCCGGUGUAGUGGUGAAAUGCGUAGAUAUCGGGAGGAACACCAGUGGCGAAGGCGACUUCCUGGCCUGUUCUUGACGCUGAACGGCGAAAGCUAGGGGAGCAAACGGG
Molecule: ribosomal RNA, 253 nt
Filed under: uncultured bacterium
Lineage: Bacteria
Description: partial 16S ribosomal RNA
Rfam family: Bacterial small subunit ribosomal RNA
Source: RNAcentral